RNAcentral lists this ribosomal RNA (492 nucleotides) under uncultured bacterium. RNAcentral describes it as "bacterial SSU rRNA". It matches the Rfam family "Bacterial small subunit ribosomal RNA", at positions 28 to 520 of the family's 1533-position model. The record is from RNAcentral.
GAUGAACGCUAGCGGCAGGCUUAACACAUGCAAGUCGAGGGGUAUUGGUUUUCGGACCAAGAGACCGGCGCACGGGUGCGUAACGCGUAUGCAAUCUACCUUUUGCAGAGGGAUAGCCCAGAGAAAUUUGGAUUAAUACCUCAUAGUAUAGUACUUUGGCAUCAAGGAACUAUUAAAGUCACAACGGCAAAAGAUGAGCAUGCGUCCCAUCAGCUAGUUGGUAAGGUAACGGCUUACCAAGGCUACGAUGGGUAGGGGUUCUGAGAGGGAGAUCCCCCACACUGGUACUGAGACACGGACCAGACUCCUACGGGAGGCAGCAGUGAGGAAUAUUGGACAAUGGGCGCAAGCCUGAUCCAGCCAUGCCGCGUGCAGGAUGACGGUCCUAUGGAUUGUAAACUGCUUUUAAUACAGGAAGAAACACUCCGACGUGUCGGAGCUUGACGGUACUGUAAGAUAAGGAUCGGCUAACUCCGUGCCAGCAGCCGACGG